UACGGAGGGUGCAAGCGUUAUCCGGAUUUACUGGGUUUAAAGGGUGCGUAGGUGGGUCUGUAAGUCAGUGGUGAAAUCUCCGUGCUUAACACGGAAACUGCCAUUGAUACUAUGUUUCUUGAAUUUUCUGGAGGUUAGCGGAAUAUGUCAUGUAGCGGUGAAAUGCUUAGAUAUGACAUAGAACACCGAUUGCGAAGGCAGCUAACUACAGGGAUAUUGACACUGAGGCACGAAAGCGUGGGGAUCAAACAGG
RNAcentral lists this ribosomal RNA (253 nucleotides) under uncultured bacterium. Its description in RNAcentral is "partial 16S ribosomal RNA". It matches the Rfam family "Bacterial small subunit ribosomal RNA", at positions 524 to 776 of the family's 1533-position model. The record is from RNAcentral.